GAGUACGAAGAGACCUCAAAGAAAAGGUCAUUCUUCCUUUGAAAUAUUCGCCUUUUUAAGGCGUGGAAGUGAAGGAAGUUGUCGUCUUUCUUGUUACAUGCUGUACCUGGUGAAGCGCAAACAUCGCCGACUCUGUUAACAUUUCGUGGAGGAUUGCGGAUGUCACUGUGACAACAUUAUGUCUCAUCAAAUUAAUAUUUAGCUCGUAUUUCAACUGAUGCAUGGCGCAGAAAGCUGCUGUCUUCACGGUUUUGCCUUAAAUUUGUGGCCAACACAACAGAAGUUUUUUAAAAUUUAAAAGGAUCUUUGUAGAGAAAUUUACAAUUGAUUAAUCUGGAUUUGAUUUUUUGAGUAAUAUUUCUGUUCUUGAUUUCAAUUCCAGUGGUUAAUUAUUAAUUACAUACAAAAGUGAAAAAAAAAUUAAAAAUGAACUUUGGCAAUAAAUCCCCUUGCAAUACAGUACAAUUAAUUUUGAUUUUGAUACUUUGUUAUUUAUUGACAACAAUAACAAACUCAUUAUGAAAGUUACGAAUUUUAGAAAUUAUCAACCUACUUGGAAAGUUUUUACCUUAAUAUAGCAAUAUUGCUUUAGGCCAAUAAUUUUCCUUAUUUUUUUAUGUUUUUUUUCUACUUCUCUAUUUUCCUAUUCCUCUACUUUUAAUUUCUUUUUUAUUUAUAUUUCUGCGUUCUACUGCUUAUUUUUAUGGAUUUAUUUCUUUGUACGCUUUAAAUUUAGAUCUUAGUCCAUAUUUUUCUAGAUCUUUCCAUAAUUAAUUUUGUCUGCUUCUGAUUUUUAGAUCAAUCGUUUUCUAGUUUCUCUACACUUUUACUGUCUUCUUUAUUUUGUUUUGCUUUAUUUUAUUUUAUGUUCUUCAUAUUUUUGUGAGAAAUUUUAUUAAAAUUUAAACCAACAAAGAAGUUGGCUUUAAAGAAUACUCUUAUAUUUUUCAAUUAUUACCCAACUGAGAUAGUUUUUGUUACCUCUUUUAUUAAUACCAGUUUUUUUAUCCCCUUGUUACUUUGUUUUUUUUUCUGUUACUUUAUUUUCUUUCUCCUCUUCCCAUUUUAAAUUUUUCUUGACUUUCAACUUAAUUAAUUCAGUUUUCCACAUUCCAUGUCUUUGUUUCUGAUUUUUAUAUCAGUAGAUAUAUUAACUGUAAUUCUAUCUUUAUUUCUUAAUUUUUUUUUCUUAAUUAUUCUUAUUUUUAUUUACACACAUCUUAGACUGGUUAUUAUUUUUUCAACUUGCAAUUAAAUCAUAAACAAUAAUUAUAUCACAUGACAUUGUCACCCCACGUGACCAAAGUGAAGAAGGAUGAAGAAAAAUUCUUUAAAAUAAUUUAAGCAAUUAAAGUAAACACUGUUGCCUAUUUUUAUUAUGCAUUUGUUUCUUUGUUUGUACGUUUUAAAUUUAGGUCAUGUGUCCAUAUUUCUAUAAUUAAUUUUGGCUGCUUCUAAUUUUUAAGUCAAUUUAAGUCAAAUGAAUUCUAGUUUUUCAAAUAUUAUUAUCUUCUUUAUUUUAUUUUUUUUUAAUUUUUAUUUUGUUUUUCAUAUUUUUGUGAUAAUUUUAAAAUACUUUGUAUUAAUAAAUAUUCAGAGACAGUUUUCAAAUAUACCUUCUUGUAGUACUUAUUAUUUUUAAGUAUUUUAUGCUGAUUGCAGUAAAUUUUAUUUUUUAUUGUGAUAUGGAUCUUGUUUUCUCAUUUUAUUAAAGAAGGUAGCUCUAAAGAAUACUCAAAUUAUUUUUAAACUGUUACCCAAGUGAGAGAGUUUUUGUUACCUCUUUUAAUCAUCCCUUCAAUAAUACCAGUGGAGAAAGCUUAUACUUACCGUCUCCUUUAUUUUGUUUUCUUCUCCAUUUUUCAUAUCUUUUUGGAUAAAUUACAUUUUUUUGUAUCAAUAUUCAGAGAUUAUUUUUUUAACUAGAAACAGAUAUUUUUAUUGCCCAUUUUAAUAAUCCCUCUAUUAAAGCUUAGUUUAAUUAUUUUUGUUUUUGAUUUUUUUGUUACUUUAUUUUCUUUCUCUUCUUCUUUCUUUUCCCAUUUUUUUAUUUCUUCACAAUUAGUUGAUUUAGCCACAUACCUCAAACCAUCUCUUUGUGCAUGUUUCUGUUUUUAAAUCAGUUGGUAAUUAACUGUCUUUGUAAUUUUAUUUGUAUCUUUUUACACACACCUUACUAGACUUGUUAACCAUUUUUUGUAAUUUGCAAAUUUUUUUCAAAAAGAGUUGGAUAUUAUGUUUAUUUAAGCUGUUUUCUUCAUGUACAGUCCGGGACAUUUCUAUUUGGACAUAAAAAAUUUGAAUUUUCUGACAUUUAUACGUAUAUUCAGCGUCUAUGUGAACAAAAAAUGUUCUCUCUCUCAUUCUAUGGUCCUUGAGCUUUAAUAACAGGGACAUUUUUUAAAUUGGUAGCAUUAGAAAAUGACAGUAAACAGCUGACUGAUGUAAACAAUAACACAAUAACAAAGGAAAUGUUAUAAUUUUAAUCUAUAUAACCAGUGGCUGCUUUAAAAGUGUGUACUAACGGGAUAAUAAAAUAUUUACGCAAGUAUUUUUGAAGGUAGAAACAUUACUUGUCAUAUAACAAUUAUAGAUUAUAUGAUGAGACGGGAAUGGCACAAUACAGAAUUGCAGUCAGUGAUUGUGCUGGAGAAAGCUGCUGUGACGUACUGACAGUACUGACUGUCGGUGGUUGUAUGGUUUGCGCAAUUUGUGAUAUAUUUUGUGUGAAAAACUGGAAAACAAAGUGCAUACCUGCAUAACCUCACUUAUCGCAGUUUUGCACAUUUUGAUGAUGGGAAUUGCGGUUCAAGUAAUUAUGAGUUAUAGAUGGAGCUCACUGUUUACUUCAAACUGAAGCCUUUUGGGUCCACUUUUUUCGUUGUUAUUUCCUGGUAGCGACUCUUGUUUCAAGCAGAAUGGGUGUAAAGUUAAAAAUAAUCCCAUAAAAUUGUUAAUAUAACUCCGUUGCACUGGCAUGGGGUAUUUGAAAACUUACGUUUAACAAAUACGUCACAAAGUCUCAUCCAUCGUCGAAAAACAUAAUAAGGGCUUUAUAACAACAAGCGCUUUCUGAUUUUACUGUGGACGUGUGGAAGAAUAGUGUGAAAUAUUGCGAAAAACCAACUUUUACUCUUGUUUAAAUUUUUGUACGUCUCUAUCUGAGAGUAGUCGUCUUUUACAAAAAAUAUAGCCUACUAAUAAAGGAAAUUAAAGUGUU
This is a long non-coding RNA of Tribolium castaneum (red flour beetle), 3220 nucleotides long. RefSeq lists it as uncharacterized. The transcript has 2 exons. Lineage: Eukaryota; Metazoa; Arthropoda; Insecta; Coleoptera; Tenebrionidae. The record is from RefSeq and is a predicted model, not a curated record.